This 332-nucleotide unclassified non-coding RNA is filed under the name soil metagenome. RNAcentral's name for it is "partial contains 5.8S ribosomal RNA, internal transcribed spacer 2, and large subunit ribosomal RNA". The stretch from base 1 to 121 matches the Rfam family "5.8S ribosomal RNA", at positions 35 to 154 of the family's 154-position model. The record is from RNAcentral.
GAUGAAGAACGGUAGCGAAAUGCGAUAAGUAAUGUGAAUUGCAGAAUUCAGUGAAUCAUCGAAUCUUUGAACGCACAUUGCGCCCCCUGGUAUUCCGGGGGGCAUGCCUGUUCGAGCGUCAUUUCACCACUCAAGCCUCGCUUGGUAUUGGGCAACGCGGUCCGCCGCGUGCCUCAAAUCGACCGGCUGGGUCUUCUGUCCCCUAAGCGUUGUGGAAACUAUUCGCUAAAGGGUGUUCGGGAGGCUACGCCGUAAAACAACCCCAUUUCUAAGGUUGACCUCGGAUCAGGUAGGGAUACCCGCUGAACUUAAGCAUAUCAAUAAGCGGAGGA